CCAUUGGUAUCCAGUGCUCCAUAACCAUCGAAUCCAUCGUUCAUGUCUGUCACUCACCGGAAAGUCGGAAACCAGAUCUAUGCUCUUCUUUCUGGAGGAGGAUAUGCAAAGAAAGUUGUUGUACCCUUUGGAAAAAUCCUUCCAAUCCUGCAGGAUUAUUCGUAAAAGAUGCAGCCUUUUUCCCUAAAGUGGAGCUUGGUUUCCCUGAAUACGAACACGGCUUAUGAAUUCACAUUAUCUUCUUAGAUAUUCAAUUAUAGUUCGCGGCCUAACUACAUGUGAGUGAGAAUGAGUGGUUCGGGUAGAAAACGUGUUUUGAUAUGGGAUUCCUAGGAAGAAGAUAUUCAUCAUCUUAGUGGAAAUGAAUAUGUUGGGAAGUCAGCUUCUUAUAUUCGUAACAAGAUCCCGUCCAUGUUUCUAUCCAGAGGGUAAUGGUUGGGAGCCAACAUGAGAUCUGCUCUGGAUGAUAUGAUUAGGACAGUGAACAUCUGCAUCUAGACAACAUUCAGUAAAAGCUUGGCCUCCCAAAAGCAAUGAUGAUGGUCAUGCUGCCAUGAUUUGUUACUAUGAUGCUAUCAAAAUCUUCUGAGCAAGAGGAAAAUAGGCAAUUGUAUUUCCGCCAGUCACCUUUGAGGGACAGGCCUAGAACCCGUAGGAGGGCCGUAGCCCAUUGCAGAAGUUAGACGAGAUACUGGAGGAUCCUAUGACAACGCAAGACGGGGUCAGGAGAGAAAUUGAUGGUAGAUGUAAUAGAGAUGGUGACUAUGACUUGGAAGCUAAGAAUAUAAAGACGAGUAAAGAUUUGUAGUAGAAAACUUCUUUAUCCUAAAUAAUUGUAUUGUACCGUGCAUAUUCAAUAAAACUAGAAACAAUAGCUUAGAGCAUUUAAUUGAUGUAAAACUAAAGGAUAUGUUUACAGCUAUUGUUCUCUUUAUUGGAAUAAAUUUUGUUUUUCUU
Long non-coding RNA from Brassica napus (rape), 957 nucleotides. RefSeq lists it as uncharacterized. NCBI's taxonomy places the organism in Eukaryota, Viridiplantae, Streptophyta, Magnoliopsida, Brassicales, Brassicaceae. The record is from RefSeq and is a predicted model, not a curated record. The transcript has 4 exons.